CUCAAAAGGGUUAACAAAUGGUUGAAGUGUUUGGGGUUGCCUUCAUCAUCCCAAUUGGAUAAUAUCAGUACAACAAAAGGGUUACACAUAAUACUUUUUGACCGUGUCUGCUUGAUAGUUGUUUCCGAGUAAUUUCCUUUAAUAUAUCCCAAGUACAACGCCCCUUUUAGCAAUAAUUUCCUUAUGAUGUACGAACUCUUCGUAUUUGGAGCGAACUUUCCUUUGGCUUCCUUAUAAUGCGAUAGAAUACGUCUCAAAAUGAGUUCCAUGACUUCAAAGUUCCUAGACCGCACUUUCUUGUUAUAGGCGCGGGCCAUUCUUUGUUGAUACAAGUGCUAGUGGCAAACUGCGGCCAUCCGUUUUUCAUCAAUGAAAGUCAACUAUUCUAAACUAGUUUUGACCCACUCACUAUCCUCAACCUCGGCUUCAACGAUAAUUUGAAGAGAUUGAAUUGCAACUUCAAUGGGUAUUACGACUUCAGUGCCAUAAACCAAUAGAUAGGGCGUUGCUCCAACUGAUGUGUGCACAAUUAUGCAUAUCCCAACUGUGAAAACAACUUUUCAUGCUAUUAUCUAGAACUUUAGAUCAUCUUCCUCAGAAUUUUCUUGAUGUUCUUAUUUGCUGCUUCAACAAUACCAUUAGCUUUAGGCCAUUAAGGGGUAGAAUUCUUGCAUGAUUUUAAAUUGUUCACAUACUUCCCUUAUCAAAUGACUAUUCAGAUUUGCAGCAUUGUCCGUAAUGAUAGUUUAGGAAUAUCAAAAUGGCAGAUGAUAUUCGACUGCACGAAGAAUACCACUACUUUCUUAGUGACGGCCUUG
This 818-nucleotide long non-coding RNA is filed under the name Nicotiana benthamiana. Its description in RNAcentral is "long non-coding RNA (NBEN_LNC032415)". Lineage: Eukaryota; Viridiplantae; Streptophyta; Magnoliopsida; Solanales; Solanaceae. The record is from RNAcentral.